This 311-nucleotide ribosomal RNA is filed under the name Candidatus Aerophobota bacterium. RNAcentral describes it as "bacterial SSU rRNA". It matches the Rfam family "Bacterial small subunit ribosomal RNA", at positions 1 to 305 of the family's 1533-position model. Lineage: Bacteria; Candidatus Aerophobota. The record is from RNAcentral.
UUUUUACUUGAGAAUUUGAUCUUGGUUCAGAUUGAAUGCUGACGGCGUGGAUGAGGCAUGCAAGUCGAACGAAGCUAUUUAUAGCUUAGUGGCGAAAGGGUUAGUAAUACAUGAGUAAUCUACCUUUAACCUUGGAAUAACAGUUGGAAACGGCUGCUAAUACCGAAUGAGGUGACUGUAGUACGCUACGGUUUAUCAAAGUGGGGGACCUUCGGGCCUUGCGGUUGAAGAAGAGCUCAUGGGAUAUCAGCUUGUUGGUGUGGUAAAGGCGCACCAAGGCUAAGACGUCUAGGCGGACUGAGAGGUUGAUC